This 2943-nucleotide ribosomal RNA is filed under the name Oceanispirochaeta crateris. Its description in RNAcentral is "Oceanispirochaeta sp. K2 23S ribosomal RNA". It matches the Rfam family "Bacterial large subunit ribosomal RNA". The record is from RNAcentral. Lineage: Bacteria; Pseudomonadati; Spirochaetota; Spirochaetia; Spirochaetales; Spirochaetaceae.
AUAUGGUCAAGCGACUAAGGGUCCAUGGUGGAUGCCUUGGAGCUAUCCGGCGAUGAAGGGCGUGGUAAGCUGCGAUAAGCCUCGGUGAGAAGCAAACAUUCUUAUAUCCGAGGAUUCCCGAAUGGGGUAACCCGGCUGUUUUUAUGACAGUCAUUAUGCGGUGAAUACAUAGCCGUAUAAAGCGAGACUCAGGGAACUGAACCAUCUAAGUACCUGAAGGAAAAGAAAUCAAUUUAGAGAUUCCCUUAGUAGCGGCGAGCGAACGGGGAUUAGCCCAAACCAAUGUCAUUUCGGUGAUAUUGGGGUUGUAGGGCAUGCAUAUAUGUAUCAGUGAAAGAUAGCAGAAUGGUAUUGGGAAAGCCAACCGUAGAGGGUGAAAGUCCUGUAAGCGAAAUCUGAAGCUGGCUAGCAUGUACCUGAGUAAGGCGGGGCACGAGUAAUCCUGUCUGAAUCUGGGGGGACCACCCUCCAAGGCUAAAUACGAGAUAGCUACCGAUAGCGAAUAGUACCGUGAGGGAAAGGUGAAAAGCACCCCGGGAGGGGAGUGAAAUAGAACCUGAAACCGUGGACCUACAAGCGGUCAAAGCCCUUUUAUGGGGUGAUGGCGUGCCUUUUGUAGAAUGAGCCUGCGAGUUAAUAUAUUAAGCGAGGUUAAGGUAUAGAAGUACCGGAGCCGGAGGGAAACCGAGUCUGAAUAGGGCGAUUUAGUUUGAUGUAUUAGACCCGAAGCCGGGUGAUCUAUUUAUGGUCAGGUUGAAGCUUGGGUAACACUGAGUGGAGGACCGAACACUAGUCUGUUGAAAAAGGCAGUGAUGAACUGUGAAUAGGAGUGAAAGGCUAAUCAAACCCGGAGAUAGCUGGUUCUCCUCGAAAUGGCUUUAGGGUCAGCGUCAUAUGGUUAAUAUCGGAGGUAGAGCACUGAUUAGGCUAGGGCCUGUCACAGGGUACCAAACUUAGUCAAACUCCGAAUGCCGAUAUUCAAAGUAUGGCAGUGAGACUACGGGUGAUAAGAUUCGUAGUCGAAAGGGAAAGAGCCCAGACCGUCAGCUAAGGUCCCUAAACUAUGCUAAGUGGAAAAGGAAGUACGAUUGCACAGACAGCCAGGAGGUUGGCUUAGAAGCAGCCACUCCUUUAAAGAGUGCGUAAUAGCUCACUGGUCGAGUAGUUGUGCGCCGACAAUGUAACGGGGCUAAGCAUAGUACCGAAGCUACGGAAUAAUGGAGUUUACUCCAUUGUUGGUAGAGGAGCAUUCUGUAGGUCGAUGAAGGUGUACUGUAAGGUAUGCUGGAGAUAUCAGAAGAGAGAAUGCAGGCAUGAGUAACGAAAAGGAAGGUGAGAUCCCUUCCCGCCGAAAAUCUAAGGUUUCCUGGGUAAAGGUACUCUUCCCAGGGUUAGUCGGCCCCUAAGGCGAGGCAGAAAUGCGUAGUCGAUGGGAAACGGGUUAAUAUUCCCGUACAUCUAAUAAUUUCGAAGGGAUGACACUUAAGGAGAUCCCAUGCCAGGCGUUGGUUGUCCUGGUCCAAGCGUUUAGGCGUUGAUUUGUGUAGGAAAAUCCGCACGAAGAGCUGAGGCGUUAAGGGUAGUGAUCCUACGGGUGAUCGAAGAUGGGUGAUUCAUCGAGUCAAGAAAUAAUCUCUAAGGUUAGGUUAUUAGGUACCGUACCGCAAACCGACACAGGUAGAUGGGAUGAGAAUUCUAAGGCGUACGAGAGAACCCACGUUAAGGAACUCGGCAAAAUACAUGCGUAACCUAGGGAGAAGCAUGGCUCAGCGCGUGAUGGCGGAGUUGCAGAGUCCAGGAGAAAGCGACUGUUUACCAAAAACACAGGUCAAUGCGAAAAUGCAAAUUGAAGUAUAUUGACUGACACCUGCCCGGUGCUGGAAGGUUAAGAGGAGCUGUUAAGAUUUAUCUGAAGCAGUGAAUUGAAGCCCCAGUAAACGGCGGCCGUAACUAUAACGGUCCUAAGGUAGCGAAAUUCCUUGUCGGGUAAGUUCCGACCCGCACGAAUGGUGUAACGACUUUCUUACUGUCUCAACGUGGGACUCGGUGAAAUUGAAGUAUCGGUGAAGAUGCCGAUUACCUGUGGUUAGACGGAAAGACCCCGUGAACCUUUACUGUAUCCUGAUAUUGAACUAUGGCUGAUGAUGUGUAGGAUAGGUGGGAAACUUUGAUGUAUGGUCGUCAGGCUGUGCGGAGUUGUUGGUGAAAUACCACCCUUUAUCAGUUAUAUUUCUAACGUGGCCCGUAAUCCGGGUCAUGGACAAUGUCAGGUGGGCAGUUUGACUGGGGCGGUCGCCUCCUAAAGAGUAACGGAGGCGCGCAAAGGUUACCUUAGCAUGGUUGGAAAUCAUGCUGUAAGCGCAAUGGCAUAAGGUAGCUUGACUGCGAGACUUACAAGUCGAGCAGGUACGAAAGUAGGUCAUAGUGAUCUGGCGAUUCUGAGUGGAAGGGUCGUCACUUAACGGACAAAAGGUACUCCGGGGAUAACAGGCUGAUUUUGCCCAAGAGUUCAUAUCGACGGCAAAGUUUGGCACCUCGAUGUCGGCUCAUCGCAUCCUGGGGCUGGAGCAGGUCCCAAGGGUAUGGCUGUUCGCCAUUUAAAGCGGUACGCGAGCUGGGUUCAGAACGUCGCGAGACAGUUCGGUCCCUAUCUGCCACAGGCGUUGGAUGUUUGAGAGGAUCUGUUUUUAGUACGAGAGGACCGAAACGGACAAACCUCUGGUGUAUCAGUUAUCGUGCCAACGGUAAGUGCUGAGUAGCUAAGUUUGGAAGGGAUAACCGCUGAAAGCAUCUAAGUGGGAAGCCUACCUCAAGAUGAGACAUCCCUCUCCCUUUAAGGGAGCUGAAGGAAUCUCGAAGAAUACGAGUUUGAUAGGCUGGCGGUCUAAGUGUGGAAACAUAUUGAGCCGACCAGUACUAAUCUUCCGUGAGGCUUGACCAUAU